CGGAACUAGCUUGCUAGUUUGUCAGCUAAGUGGCGCACGGGUGAGUAAUAUAUAGUUAAUCUGCCCCAAAGAAGAGAAUAAUUGUUGGAAACGACUUGUAAUGCUCUAUAUGCCUUUAAGACAUAAGUCUGCAAGGGAAAUAUUUAUAGCUUUGGGAUGAGACUGUACGGUAUCAGUUUGUUGGUGAGGUAAUGGCUCACCAAGACUAUGACGCCUAACUGGUUUGAGAGGAUGAUCAGUCACACUGGAACUGAGACACGGUCCAGACUCCUACGGGAGGCAGCAGUGGGGAAUAUUGCACAAUGGACGAAAGUCUGAUGCAGCAACGCCGCGUGGAGGAUGACACAUUUCGGUGCGUAAACUCCUUUUAUAUGAGAAGAUAAUGACGGUAUCAUAUGAAUAAGCACCGGCUAACUUCGUGCCAGCAGCCGCGGUAAUACGAGGGGUGCAAGCGUUACUCGGAAUCACUGGGCGUAAAGAGCAUGUAGGCGGGUAGUUAAGUUGGAAGUGAAAUCCUAUGGCUCAACCAUAGAACUGCUUCCAAAACUGAUUAUCUAGAGUAUGGGAGAGGUAGAUGGAAUUUC
This 584-nucleotide ribosomal RNA is filed under the name uncultured bacterium. RNAcentral's name for it is "bacterial SSU rRNA". It matches the Rfam family "Bacterial small subunit ribosomal RNA", at positions 69 to 670 of the family's 1533-position model. The record is from RNAcentral.